This 427-nucleotide ribosomal RNA is filed under the name uncultured bacterium. RNAcentral describes it as "bacterial SSU rRNA". It matches the Rfam family "Bacterial small subunit ribosomal RNA", at positions 355 to 774 of the family's 1533-position model. The record is from RNAcentral.
UGGGGAAUAUUGGACAAUGGGCGCAAGCCUGAUCCAGCCAUACCGCGCGGGUGAAGAAGGCCUUCGGGUUGUAAAGCCCUUUUGUUGGGAAAGAAAUCCUGUCGGUUAAUAACCGGUGGGGAUGACGGUACCCAAAGAAUAAGCACCGGCUAACUUCGUGCCAGCAGCCGCGGUAAUACGAAGGGUGCAAGCGUUACUCGGAAUUACUGGGCGUAAAGCGUGCGUAGGUGGUGGUUUAAGUCUGCUGUGAAAGCCCUGGGCUCAACCUGGGAAUUGCAGUGGAUACUGGAUCACUAGAGUGUGGUAGAGGGAUGCGGAAUUUCUGGUGUAGCAGUGAAAUGCGUAGAGAUCAGAAGGAACAUCCGUGGCGAAGGCGGCAUCCUGGGCCAACACUGACACUGAGGCACGAAAGCGUGGGGAGCAAACA